GAUUGCCACACCUUAGAGAUUGCUGACCACAGACAGAGAUCAGAAGGAGACAGUUGGAGGCCUCACCAUCUCUGAAAUUACAUAGAUCAGCUGUAAAGCCACAGGCCAAAAGGUGGGGUUAGAGGCCAUUGAGAGAAAAAGAUUGCCAGCAUUGCCUUCAACCUGCUCGUAACACUUGCAGUUCUCCAUUAAGACAGUAACCAGCACCAAAUCUCGUGCUUCAGGGCUUGGAUGGUCACCAGCAGCGGUCAGGAAGGAUUUUCCAGUGGGUCAGCUGUAUUCUGGGAGUGUUUGGCCACACUGGGAGAUGAGGCACUAGACAGGGUGCACCAGGACUAUAAAGUUGUACGUGUUAUGCUUAUAAGAAGCACACAGGAUUUUUUCAGGGGAAAAGGCAAUACGACACCUUUAUUGAAGAUAUAACAAUUAGCAUAUACAUUUAAUUACAUAUACACACUGUCCCACCAGCUGAUGUUAUAGUUACCAGUCUGGAUCAAUCUAGUGGCCAGCUAGGUUGAUCAUGGGUAGGUAGGAGCCGGGUUCUGUCAGUCGCAACACGAUGCUCCGGGGAAGUCUUGGCAGGACGAACCCAAAGUAUCAUGGCAAGGCACUCUGUUUAUGUAGUGAUUUUCCUUCAUUGGGACCAAUGAAUUUACACCAUUAUGCUGUAAUUGUUUGAGUGCUUGUUUUAUUAACUAAUUUAUUUUAAUUUUGUUUUUGUAUUAUGUUUUUUAGGGAGUUACCCCAUGCUGGUUUUGAUUACAGCUGUUUUAUUCCCAUUGAUAGGUGCCUGUUUCAUCUUUAGAGUCAUCUAUCUGCCCUCCUCUGACAUUUCAGUAGGGACAUGUUGCAACCUCCUGGCACCCUUGCGUCUGUCUCCCUAGAACAUCUGGUCUGGUGAUAGCCUUCACACUUAUUUUUUUUAACACACACAUUCUUCAUUCACACACAACAGAAUUUAUUUACACAACAUUUGAACAGGAACAUUAAAUUGCAAUGCAAGAAAAAAAA
This is a long non-coding RNA of Dermochelys coriacea (leatherback sea turtle), 1011 nucleotides long. RefSeq lists it as uncharacterized. The record is from RefSeq and is a predicted model, not a curated record. The transcript is spliced from 2 exons. Lineage: Eukaryota; Metazoa; Chordata; Testudines; Dermochelyidae.